RNAcentral lists this ribosomal RNA (252 nucleotides) under uncultured bacterium. RNAcentral's name for it is "partial 16S ribosomal RNA". It matches the Rfam family "Bacterial small subunit ribosomal RNA", at positions 524 to 776 of the family's 1533-position model. The record is from RNAcentral.
UACGUAGGUCCCGAGCGUUGUCCGGAUUUAUUGGGCGUAAAGCGAGCGCAGGUAGUUUAUUAAGUCUGGUGUAAAAGGCAGUGGCUCAACCAUAGUAUGCAUUGGAAACUGGUAGACUUGAGUGCAGGAGAGGAGAGUGGAAUUCCAUGUGUAGCGGUGAAAUGCGUAGAUAUAUGGAGGAACACCGGUGGCGAAAGCGGCUCUCUGGCCUGUAACUGACACUGAGGCUCGAAAGCGUGGGGAGCAAACAGG